UCACCUGAAUACAAACAAAUAAAAUAGAUUGAAAUGGAUCUAACCACGUUGCAAAGACCGUAACAGGAUUGAAGAAAAUCUGCAAUUUCGACCUACCGAUGGACCUAGACAUUGCGAGAACGCCAGAAACACGAGCGCCUUGCCAUUGUAUAACUUUCCCUCCAGCUUUCUCUAUUCUUGCAUACUCAUCCUCUCUAUCAGGCUUCCAAAACAAAAAAAAAAAGGUAAGAAACUUCAUUAUCAUUGUAUGAAUGAGAAGUAAGAAACUAUCUCAGAUG
This is a long non-coding RNA of Arabidopsis lyrata subsp. lyrata, 278 nucleotides long. RefSeq lists it as uncharacterized. Lineage: Eukaryota; Viridiplantae; Streptophyta; Magnoliopsida; Brassicales; Brassicaceae. The transcript is spliced from 2 exons. The record is from RefSeq and is a predicted model, not a curated record.